Non-coding RNA from Caenorhabditis elegans, 166 nucleotides. Lineage: Eukaryota; Metazoa; Nematoda; Chromadorea; Rhabditida; Rhabditidae. The record is from Ensembl.
GUGAAUAUUGCCCCGCAUUUUUCAAAAGCACGUCACAUAUAGUGAAAUGACAAAUGACAAAUGCAAAUUCGUAAGAGUCGGGUGUGGCUUCUGGGGGAGAAGAGCUUCCCCCGACGUGUGCAUGUGUGUAUGUCACGGACGGCAGAGACGAGAGGAGCUACUCCCC